GAUGAGUUGGCUGAAUGGUUUAAGCGGCGGACUGUUAAUCCGUGUUCGAAAGAACGAUAUAGGUUCAAAUCCUAUACUCAUCGCCA
RNAcentral lists this transfer RNA (86 nucleotides) under Escherichia coli. RNAcentral's name for it is "tRNA-Asn(gtt)". It matches the Rfam family "tRNA". Rfam says of the family: Transfer RNA (tRNA) molecules are approximately 80 nucleotides in length. Lineage: Bacteria; Pseudomonadati; Pseudomonadota; Gammaproteobacteria; Enterobacterales; Enterobacteriaceae. RNAcentral also lists the same sequence under 14 other names. The record is from RNAcentral.